GAAAUGCGAUAAGUAAUGUGAAUUGCAGAAUUCAGUGAAUCAUCGAAUCUUUGAACGCACCUUGCGCUCCUUGGUAUUCCUUGGAGCAUGCCUGUUUGAGUAUCAUGAAAUCUUCAAAGUAAAUCUUUUGUUAACUCAAUUGGUUUCUACUUUGGUAUUGGAGGUCUUUGCAGCUUCACACCUGCUCCUCUUUGUUCAUUAGCUGGAUCUCAGUGUUAUGCUUGGUUCCACUCGGCGUGAUAAGUUAUCUAUCGCUGAGGACACUGUAAAAGGUGGCCAAGGUAAAUGCAGAUGAACCGCUUCUAAUAGUCCAUUGACUUGGACAAUACUUUUAUGAUCUGAUCUCCAAUCAGGUAGGACUACCCGCUGAACUUCAGC
This 378-nucleotide unclassified non-coding RNA is filed under the name plant metagenome. Its description in RNAcentral is "partial contains 5.8S ribosomal RNA, internal transcribed spacer 2, and large subunit ribosomal RNA". The stretch from base 1 to 105 matches the Rfam family "5.8S ribosomal RNA", at positions 50 to 154 of the family's 154-position model. The record is from RNAcentral.